GAUCCUGGCUCAGAGCGAACGCUAGCGGCGGGCUUAACACAUGCAAGUCGAGCGGAGAGCUUCGGCUCUCAGCGGCGAACGGGUGAGUAACACGUAGGUCACGUACCCUUUGAUGGGGGAUAACCUAGGGAAACCUGGGCUAAUACCGCAUAUGUUCUUCGGGAUGAAAGCCUCACGGCGUCAGGGGAUCGGCCUGCGGCCCAUUAUUUAAUCCUAGUUGGUAGGGUAACGGCCUACCAAGGGUACGAUGGGUAGCUGGUCUGAGAGGAUGAUCAGCCACACUGGAACUGAGACACGGUUCAGACUCCUACGGGAGGCAGCAGUGGGGAAUAUUGGACAAUGGGCGAAAGCCUGAUCCAGCCACGCCGCGUGGGUGAUGAAGGCCUUCGGGUUGUAAAGCCCUGUCGGGAGGGACGAAUACUGACGGUACCUCCCAAGAAAGCACCGGCUAACUCCGUGCCAGCAGCCGCGGUAAUACGGAGGGUGCAAGCGUUGCUC
This 498-nucleotide ribosomal RNA is filed under the name uncultured bacterium. RNAcentral describes it as "bacterial SSU rRNA". It matches the Rfam family "Bacterial small subunit ribosomal RNA", at positions 15 to 546 of the family's 1533-position model. The record is from RNAcentral.